CAUCCGGGAUAGUCCUGGAAAUGAUCUUGAUGCUAUCUGUUCCUCAUUACAACAGACCUGCUCAACUUCAGCAGCUAGAAGGAGGAUUGUCUUUCACCAGCUGCAGGAGCCUGUUCCCACUACAGGCCUGGUGGAGUCUUCAGAGCAGAUCUGAUUGUCCUACUUGUGUAGAGAAGAGAAAAUGAGGCUCAGAAGAGACGCCUGGCUGAGUUUAACAGGACUGCAACAAGAAUUUUGCCUUUCUACUUUCUGGUAGCAUCAAGGUGGCCACCAUUAAGUUUGGAAGAAGAAUAGGAAGAGGUCGAAAAGCAAAGAAAUGAGAAUUAUGUCUAAGAAAGGACAUUGUGUUUAUAAGGACAUAGAAUUGCCUUGAAGAAAAUCUGGAACAGAGGUUGAUAUAGUUUGAAUAUUUGUCCCCACCCAAAUCUUAAGUUGAAUUAUAAUCCCCAGUGCUGGAGGUGGGGCCUG
Molecule: long non-coding RNA, 468 nt
Organism: Pongo pygmaeus (Bornean orangutan)
Lineage: Eukaryota; Metazoa; Chordata; Mammalia; Primates; Hominidae
Exons: 3
Source: RefSeq, a predicted model, not a curated record